This 1147-nucleotide long non-coding RNA is filed under the name Cricetulus griseus (Chinese hamster). RNAcentral describes it as "lncRNA (ENSCGRG00015037667.1)". The record is from RNAcentral. Lineage: Eukaryota; Metazoa; Chordata; Mammalia; Rodentia; Cricetidae.
UGAAAACUGUGGGUGGUGCCUCAGACAGUGAUGAUAGAAGGAGCCCUCUGGAGAAAGCAUGUUGGACUUGGGAAUUUGGGAGAUGAGAAAAGCCUUUACUCUCACCCUAUACCCUCUGAAGAGUCUCUUCAUUAAGAUCUUCUGGGAACCUACCACUCUGACCUCGAGAAGGCUUGAAGUAGAGUCACAUCAAAGAACAAUGCCGUGAGCACACAUCUCCCUUCACGACUCCUGGUCCAGGCCUCAAAACAAGGGAGCCAGCUGACCAUGAGUUGAAACCCCUGGAACUGUGAGCUGAAAUGAAAUUGCCCACCUUUUAAGAAUUUUAUCUCAGGUUCUGAUGACUGAACUCAAGUUGUUGGACUUGCAAGCACUGAAUCAUCUUACCAGCCCAGGUAAGCCAGGCUAGCUGACCCAGGAGCCUCCAGGGAUUCUCCAGUCUCUACUUCCUAUCUCUGUAAAACACUGAGAUUACAGAUAUCUGCUACUAUACCUGAUUUUACAGGUGUUCUGGGGGUUCAAACUCAAGUCCUCAUGCUUGAAUGGCAAUGAGUAUUGGUUAUCUCCAAAGUCCCAAAUGAAAGGAUUGCCUAUCCAAAGAAAAAUCUACAAUUAAAAGAGAAAUCUCUGAUUGUGGCAAUGAACAUUUUUAAUAAAGUAGAUGCUUGUGUGGGGUGGGACUGGAGAACUAAGGCAUGAUGAACUCAUCUAUCACUGAAGAUUUGUACUAGGGUACAGAUCCCUAUAGCAGAGUUGUCCUAGGAAAGAGACAUUCCUGGAGUCUGGAUUCUUUGGUUCAUACUACCUGACAAUGGUGGUUUGGAAACCUGGGGCCACUGGGAGCAAUAUCUGCAGCCAUAUUCCUUCUGAGGAUCAGAGAGAAUGAAGUUCAUGAGGACAGACCAGGUAGCCCAGCCAAUGCACAAAUCUCAUAGCAAACAAAUAAACUAAAAAGUGAAUAGAACAAGCUUUGAUUCCUCUCCUGGUAAUGGGCAAAGCUGGUACUGCCUACCUACAUCAAUAUCUAAGACCAAUCAGGAAAUGGCUUAUGGAUAACUCUCCAAGCCUUCCCACAGAAUCUGCACCUCAGUUGCCGUUGUCUUCCCACCCAACGGAGGAAAUUCCAAGGUUCUCUCAAAUGUUGUAG